This 106-nucleotide small nuclear RNA is filed under the name Chelonia mydas (Green sea turtle). RNAcentral's name for it is "U5 spliceosomal RNA". It matches the Rfam family "U5 spliceosomal RNA". From Rfam's summary of the family: U5 RNA is a component of both types of known spliceosome. The precise function of this molecule is unknown, though it is known that the 5' loop is required for splice site selection and p220 binding, and that both the 3' stem-loop and the Sm site are important for Sm protein binding and cap methylation. Lineage: Eukaryota; Metazoa; Chordata; Testudines; Cheloniidae. The record is from Rfam by way of RNAcentral.
CUACCUGGUUUCUCUUCAGAUCGUAUAAAUCUUUCACCUUUUACUAAAGAUUUCCAUGGAGAGGAACAUUUAUGAGUUUCUACCCAAUUUUUUAGAGCAGACUGUC